Molecule: ribosomal RNA, 253 nt
Filed under: uncultured bacterium
Lineage: Bacteria
Description: partial 16S ribosomal RNA
Rfam family: Bacterial small subunit ribosomal RNA
Source: RNAcentral
UACGGGGGGAGCAAGCGUUGUUCGGAUUUACUGGGUUUAGAGGGUGUGUAGGCGGGCUAUUAAGUCAGCGGUGAAAUCUUCGGGCUCAACCCGGAAACUGCCAUUGAUACUAUUAGUCUUGAAUACUGUGGAGGUAUGCGGAAUGUGUCAUGUAGCGGUGAAAUGCUUAGAGAUGACACAGAACACCGAUUGCGAAGGCAGCGUACUACACAGUGAUUGACGCUGAGGCACGAAAGCGUGGGGAUCAAACAGG